Molecule: ribosomal RNA, 422 nt
Filed under: uncultured bacterium
Lineage: Bacteria
Description: bacterial SSU rRNA
Rfam family: Bacterial small subunit ribosomal RNA
Source: RNAcentral
UAAGGAAUAUUGGUCAAUGGACGCAAGUCUGAACCAGCCAUGCCGCGUGGAGGAUGAAGGUCCUCUGGAUUGUAAACUUCUUUUAUCUGGGACGAAACACUUCUUUUCUAAGAGGCCUGACGGUACCAGAUGAAUAAGCACCGGCUAACUCCGUGCCAGCAGCCGCGGUAAUACGGAGGGUGCAAGCGUUAUCCGGAUUCACUGGGUUUAAAGGGUGCGUAGGUGGGUAUGUAAGUCAGUGGUGAAAUCCCCGGGCUUAACUUGGGAACUGCCAUUGAUACUAUAGAUCUUGAAUACCGUAGAGGUAAGCGGAAUAUGUCAUGUAGCGGUGAAAUGCUUAGAUAUGACAUAGAACACCGAUUGCGAAGGCAGCUUGCUAAGCUGUAACUGACGCUGAGGCACGAAAGCGUGGGGAGCAAACA